RNAcentral lists this non-coding RNA (22 nucleotides) under Arabidopsis thaliana (thale cress). Lineage: Eukaryota; Viridiplantae; Streptophyta; Magnoliopsida; Brassicales; Brassicaceae. The record is from RNAcentral.
UUGAUGCAAAAAGGUAUAACAU